This 464-nucleotide ribosomal RNA is filed under the name uncultured bacterium. Its description in RNAcentral is "partial 16S ribosomal RNA". It matches the Rfam family "Bacterial small subunit ribosomal RNA", at positions 28 to 507 of the family's 1533-position model. The record is from RNAcentral.
GACGAACGCUGGCGGCGUGCUUAACACAUGCAAGUCGAACGGAAAGGCCCUGUUUUGGUUACUCGCGCGACUAACGGGCGGGUAACAAGCGAGUAACUUACCUUCCCCUUCCGGAGAACUAACUUCAACAGAGUCGAAUAACGACCGGAAAUCCUCUCCUCAUGCAUGGGGUUGGAUAGCUUCGGCGGUUUUGGAUGGACUGGCGGCUUAUCAGCUUGUUGGUGGGUGGUGGCUUACCAAGGCAUUGCCGGGAAGCCGGCCUGGCGGGGCGACCGGCCACAUUGGGACUGAGAUACGGCCCAGACUCCUACGGGGGGCAGCAGGUGGGAAUAUUGCACAAUGGGCGGAAGCCUGAUGCAGCAAAGCCGCGUGCGGGAUGACGGGCUUCGGGUUGUAAACCGCUUUCAGCAGGGGAGAAGCUUGUGGUGACGGUACCUGCAGAAGAAGCACCGGCUAACUACGUG